RNAcentral lists this ribosomal RNA (440 nucleotides) under uncultured bacterium. RNAcentral describes it as "partial 16S ribosomal RNA". It matches the Rfam family "Bacterial small subunit ribosomal RNA", at positions 338 to 795 of the family's 1533-position model. The record is from RNAcentral.
CCUACGGGUGGCAGCAGUGGGGGAUAUUGCACAAUGGGGGAAACCCUGAUGCAGCGACGCCGCGUGGGUGAAGAAGCGCCUCGGCGCGUAAAGCCCUUUCAGCAGGGAAGAAAAUGACGGUACCUGAAGAAGAAGCCCCGGCUAACUACGUGCCAGCCGCCGCGGUAAUACGUAGGGGGCAAGCGUUAUCCGGAUUUACUGGGUGUAAAGGGGGCGCAGGCGGCUAUGGAAGCGGGGAGUGAAAGCCCGGGGCCCAACCCCGGGACUGCUGUUGGAACUGCGUGGCUAGAGUGCAGGAGGGGCAGGCGGAAUUCGUGGUGUAGCGGUGAAAUGCGUAGAUAUCAGGAGGAACACCGGUGGCGAAGGCGGCCUGCUGGACUGCAACUGACGUUGAGGCCCGAAGGCGUGGGGAGCAAACAGGAUUAGAUACCCUUGUAGUC